Long non-coding RNA from Caretta caretta (loggerhead turtle), 851 nucleotides. RefSeq lists it as uncharacterized. The record is from RefSeq and is a predicted model, not a curated record. Lineage: Eukaryota; Metazoa; Chordata; Testudines; Cheloniidae.
AACCUGCUCUCCGGCUGUUCACCAUCUGUGCCUACAGCAGCCUCCUGGUGAUUACUUACAAUAACGGAGUACUCCUGGAAAUGAACAUGAACCAAUUGCUGUAUUAAAUCUAACUGGUCACACCAACUGGGAAGAGGUGCCAUCAAGCCUGAUAGGGAAGACUAAAUAUCCAGGUCCAAAAUUCCAUAGCAAGAAGCUGCUGGGCCUGUCCCCAACUCAGUGGAAAUGUCUGAGCAAGGUCACAUGAUUUCCAUGCCAAGCUAGACCUUCAUUCUACAGGAUGCCCUGGGUUUAAGCAGCAGAAGAGAUACUCUGCAGCAGCUUUAGCCCCAGGAGUCAGAGACGUGGCACCGCUGGAGCCCAUAGGCAGCUCAGCUGCACCAUCACCACAUGCAGACAGCUACUGACCCAAGCUGGGGCCCAGCAUCCAUGUUUCUGCUCAUUCCCCCACCAUUAUGCUGAGGACUUUUCCAGAAGGGUAGACUGGGACUGGGAUGUUUACACCUGCACUUAUUCUUCGUGAGGAUCUAUUUCUUCAUUCAUCACCUCUAAGAACUAGGACAUUGGUUAACACAGAGCAUUGCUAUCAAUAAAGUUGACCUGAUAAACUGUGUAAGGAGAAAUUUAUUGGGAAAUGUCAUGCAAGCAGUUCCGAGCAUGUACAUCACUGAUGCCCUAACCUGUUUGUAGGCGAGCUAAGAGAGAGACACCUUUUAAAUAAUUUGACAGGAAGCAACUUGGCCUCUGGGCCAAUGAAAAUGUUCUAGUCAUGAGCAUGGAGAACUACUUUGCUGCCUCACAUAGAGAUAUCAAAAUGUUCCCUACACCGUCUGUUUUACUCCACGCUUUGU